GUUAACACAGGGUUUACAUACCGUACUACCGAGGCACUCUUCUGUCGACAUUUCAUACAUCUGAGAAAUAUGAAAAACACGUGGAAUCACCAGACAAAGAUCAUGAAGGUGAUGAAGGUAGCUAGCAUUGCAGAAAAAUUCAUAACCCGCACAUAAUAGGAUCCACGCCAAAAAGUUCCGUGUAUGUAAACGAAGAUCGGAUGAUCAGAUAUCGUUCAAG
Long non-coding RNA from Ostrea edulis (European flat oyster), 220 nucleotides. RefSeq lists it as uncharacterized. The transcript is spliced from 3 exons. NCBI's taxonomy places the organism in Eukaryota, Metazoa, Mollusca, Bivalvia, Ostreida, Ostreidae. The record is from RefSeq and is a predicted model, not a curated record.